Molecule: ribosomal RNA, 533 nt
Filed under: uncultured bacterium
Lineage: Bacteria
Description: bacterial SSU rRNA
Rfam family: Bacterial small subunit ribosomal RNA
Source: RNAcentral
UAGUCCACGCCGUAAACGAUGGAUACUAGGCGUUUGGGGAGUUAACCCCCUGAGUGCCAAAGCUAACGCAUUAAGUAUCCCGCCUGGGGAGUACGGUCGCAAGGCUAAAACUCAAAGGAAUUGACGGGGGCCCGCACAAGCGGUGGAGUAUGUGGUUUAAUUCGAAGCAACGCGCAGAACCUUACCUACCCUUAACAUCCCAGGACGACUGCAGAGAUGUAGUUUUCUCUUCGGAGACUUGGUGAUAGGUGCUGCAUGGCUGUCGUCAGCUCGUGUCGUAAGAUGUCUGGUUAAGUCCAAUAACGAGCGCAACCCUUGUCUCUAGUUACCAUCAUUAAGUUGGGGACUCUAGAGAGACUGCCGGUGUUAAACCGGAGGAAGGCGGGGAUGACGUCAAGUCCUCAUGGCCCUUACGGGUAGGGCUACACACGUACUACAAAUGGCAGAAACAAACCGAACGCAAGACCGCGAGGUGGAGCAAAAUCGGUAAAAACACUGUCUCAGUCCGGAUUGGAGUCUGCAACUCGACUCCA